GGGUUGUGAGGUUAAGCGACUAAGCGUACACGGUGGAUGCCCUGGCAGUCAGAGGCGAUGAAGGACGUGCUAAUCUGCGAUAAGCGUCGGUAAGGUGAUAUGAACCGUUAUAACCGGCGAUUUCCGAAUGGGGAAACCCAGUGUGAUUCGUUACACUAUCAUUAACUGAAUCC
Molecule: ribosomal RNA, 173 nt
Filed under: Escherichia coli
Lineage: Bacteria; Pseudomonadati; Pseudomonadota; Gammaproteobacteria; Enterobacterales; Enterobacteriaceae
Description: partial 23S ribosomal RNA
Rfam family: Bacterial large subunit ribosomal RNA
Source: RNAcentral